UUUUAUACAAAAGUCUCGCACGAAUUUUAUGAAGAAUACGAAAACACUAUUUCCUGAGUUUAUAGAGUGUGUGAAAAGUAUUACCCCCAGAUCCCCUCUGGUAUAAAAACAAUCUAAAAGGUCAUUUGAAGUUCAUCAAAUUCCAUAAGUUUAAAUUCAGCACUGAAAGGACAUUUACACAAAUAUAGGAAUGCUUACGUUUUAUCUACUGUGCACCGUUUGUAUACUCGUCGCCGAAUCAAAACCCUUCUAUGAGUAUUGGCGGGUACCAAAAAUACGAACAGAUCCGAGAUCAUGUAUUUAUGACGGAGAAAUAGUGAAUGAAGGUUUUACGGAAUACGAUUAUGGGAAAAAAUGUGGGACAGGGAUUGAGUGUUACAAUGGCGAAAUGAAAGCUUUCAUUCGUGACGAUUGUGAUGAAUAUGGGAAUCUAAUAACCGAGUCACCUCCAAAAGAUGUUAGAGAAAAGCAUCGGCUUUAGUUAAUCACUGGAACUUUUCAAGUAAAAUAUCGUAAAGUUACUGGUGGAAUGAUUCGGAUAGUUGGCUUUUUUUAUUUUGUAUUUAUUUUUUAAAGAUAAAUUUAAAAAACUA
Hydra vulgaris (swiftwater hydra) is the source of this 593-nucleotide long non-coding RNA. RefSeq lists it as uncharacterized. The record is from RefSeq and is a predicted model, not a curated record. NCBI's taxonomy places the organism in Eukaryota, Metazoa, Cnidaria, Hydrozoa, Anthoathecata, Hydridae.